This 498-nucleotide ribosomal RNA is filed under the name uncultured bacterium. Its description in RNAcentral is "partial 16S ribosomal RNA". It matches the Rfam family "Bacterial small subunit ribosomal RNA", at positions 30 to 523 of the family's 1533-position model. The record is from RNAcentral.
AUUGAACGCUGGCGGCAUGCCUUACACAUGCAAGUCGAACGGUAACAGGUCUUCGGAUGCUGACGAGUGGCGAACGGGUGAGUAAUACAUCGGAACGUGCCUAGUAGUGGGGGAUAACUACUCGAAAGAGUGGCCAAUACCGCAUGAGAUCUACGGAUGAAAGCAGGGGAUCGCAAGACCUUGUGCUACUAGAGCGGCAGAUGGCAGAUUAGGGAGUUGGUGGGAUAAAAGCUUACCAAGCCGACGAUCUGUAGCUGGUCUGAGAGGACGAUCGGCCACACUGGGACUGAGACACGGCCCAGACUCCUACGGGAGGCAGCAGUGGGGAAUUUUGGACAAUGGGCGAAAGCCUGAUCCAGCAAUGCCGCGUGCAGGAUGAAGGCCUUCGGGUUGUAAACUGCUUUUGUACGGAACGAAAAGCCCUGGGUUAAUACCCUGGGGUCAUGACGGUACCGUAAGAAUAAGCACCGGCUAACUACGUGCCAGCCGCCGCGGUAA